AUAGACUCUGGGGAAGACUGUAUGUAGAUUGUUAUGUUGUGUUGGAAAUUCCCUGAUUUUAUGAGCACUUCUUUAUCUUGUUUAGAGUGUCUUGGUUCUAUAUGACUGAAAAGGAAUGUGAUCCAAGUUUUGCAGGGUAUGUAUUUCCUUUAGGAGGAACACAUGUUGUCAACUGCAGGAUAUUAUGUCCUGUUCUCCUUUUUUCUGGGAAUGACAAAUUCUGACAUA
RNAcentral lists this long non-coding RNA (228 nucleotides) under Nicotiana benthamiana. Its description in RNAcentral is "long non-coding RNA (NBEN_LNC009101)". The record is from RNAcentral. Lineage: Eukaryota; Viridiplantae; Streptophyta; Magnoliopsida; Solanales; Solanaceae.